GAGGGUAUAGCUCAGUGGUAGAGUGUGUGCUUAGCAUGCAUGAGGUCCUGGGUUCAAUCCCCAGUACCUCUA
Transfer RNA from Camelus ferus (Wild Bactrian camel), 72 nucleotides. It matches the Rfam family "tRNA". Rfam says of the family: Transfer RNA (tRNA) molecules are approximately 80 nucleotides in length. Their secondary structure includes four short double-helical elements and three loops (D, anti-codon, and T loops). Further hydrogen bonds mediate the characteristic L-shaped molecular structure. tRNAs have two regions of fundamental functional importance: the anti-codon, which is responsible for specific mRNA codon recognition, and the 3' end, to which the tRNAs corresponding amino acid is attached (by aminoacyl-tRNA synthetases). tRNAs cope with the degeneracy of the genetic code in two manners: having more than one tRNA (with a specific anti-codon) for a particular amino acid; and 'wobble' base-pairing, i.e. permitting non-standard base-pairing at the 3rd anti-codon position. Lineage: Eukaryota; Metazoa; Chordata; Mammalia; Artiodactyla; Camelidae. The record is from Rfam.